RNAcentral lists this transfer RNA (76 nucleotides) under Planctomycetota bacterium. RNAcentral describes it as "tRNA-Pro". It matches the Rfam family "tRNA". From Rfam's summary of the family: Transfer RNA (tRNA) molecules are approximately 80 nucleotides in length. Their secondary structure includes four short double-helical elements and three loops (D, anti-codon, and T loops). The record is from RNAcentral. Lineage: Bacteria; Pseudomonadati; Planctomycetota. RNAcentral also lists the same sequence under 3 other names.
CGGGGUGUAGCUCAGCUUGGUUUAGAGCGCUUGGUUCGGGACCAAGAGGUCGCCGGUUCAAAUCCGGCCACCCCGA